UUUAUUAUUGCCACAUGCAAUAACUGUAUUGCAGUCUUGAUUUCAAAGGAAGGCUAGUGCCAUUAUAAGUGAAAUAUGAUAACUUAUAAGUAUUUUCAUUGUUUCUAAAAAUCAUCGAACACAUAUGCACAAAGUGUGCUGUAGAGCGCGCCUUUUAGGAGUCAAUACAGUUCAAAUUCGUUCGCUCGUUUCUUUGUCCGUUUAACGCACCUGCGUUCGAAAAGGCCGAAACUGCUGCUACCGUGCUUAUCUUAUGUACAAAAUACCGUUGACGCAGCUCCUGGGUUAACAGCCUUUUACAUUCAGCCAGCAUACUGUAGUGACCAUACAGACACAUAUGUACAUAUGCAUGUGUAUGUAUGUAUGAUGCGCAUGAUAACGCACUUCUGCUUUCAUACAAAAUUUGAAUUCAUCAACCGAUCAUCAAGUAUUUAUGUUUUUCUCUUCCCAUCAAAGCAUGCUUUUCCCAUAAGGCAUCACUGAUUUAGAAGUUAGGCAGUUUGCAAAGUGAUACUACUCAUAUGCCAUUUGGUUUUAAGCUUCAGAUGACAAGGGUCAUAAUUUUCGUUUCACAAAGUACGGAACAAUCUGAAAAGGGGACAUUUUUUUUUCAAUUAUUUCUGAGAAAACUUUGGUAAGCAAUGAAGCCUCUUGCGCAAACAAAUUUUGUACUUCUUUUCAUUCUUCUUUAUCAUGCCUCCACUCCAGGGCUCGCAAUAUAAUGGCAAAUUCAACGGGUGCCAGGUGGAGGAUGAUGCAUACCGUUGGCUGGCCACCAUUCUUGGACCCACCGACACGCUCUAUGAGGGAGGAAUGUUUGAAUUAGAGUUGUUGCUUCCAAGCAACUACCCUUUUUCCCCUCCUAAAUUUACCACUGCAACAUUUCACCUGAUGACCUAUGUCGCCCUAUGCCUGAAUAUCCUGGGUGAAGAAUGGUUGUCAAUCCUGACAGUAGAAAACGUUCUCGUUUCAAUAAUUUAGCUGUUGUCAGACCCCAAUCCUUACGACACCUUGUUUGUGGGACCCGCUUUUGUGUACCUCCGUCACCGGCAGUUCCACAAUGAUAUUUUCCGGAGCUGGAAUUUUUUAAGAUUGAGAUUUUUUAAUUGACCGAAUAAGUAGAUCAUUAAUGCUGUUGGCACAUAAGGCCCAACUUGAUAACUUUAUUAUUUAAAGCUGAUUAAUUAUAAAGAGUUAGUUACAAUUGGUCUUCGUAGUAGAGCGAUCGCAAUAAAGUGAAAUAGCUCAUUGAUGUACUUAGAAUAGCCGUAAAACUUUGCAGCGAUAGAGUGGAAAAUUUAAAGGCCGUUAUUCUGACUGGUCUUUGACUGCAGAGUAUCAUAAAUUGUAAGUCCCUACGGAACUGCUGGCUCAUGGCGGUGUAUGAAUGCAAACUGCUGAUGCUUGGAUCCUCCCAUUUACAGCCAUACAGGUGCCAUGCCGUAGUUGUGGAGUGCAUAAUCAAAGCAUCUCCAUUUUCACAAAGAACAUAUAACUGGGAAAUCGCGGAGGAAAUGUAAACAAUAAAUUUAACAUAAUCGCCAAUGAACAUGUUUUUCCCAGUGAUUAUUUGAAAGCCAACCAUGCAAAUUAAAAGCGAUGAAAUCAUUAAAUUCACUAGGAGUAUGGGAUUAAAAAAGUCUUCCAUAGACUUGGCGAAUCUGAU
This 1666-nucleotide long non-coding RNA is filed under the name Drosophila guanche. Lineage: Eukaryota; Metazoa; Arthropoda; Insecta; Diptera; Drosophilidae. The record is from RNAcentral.